CGAGACAAGGGGAAUCCGAUGCAUUAUUGCCAGCGUGGCCGCUGCCUAAUCCUGUGGAUCUCUCAUGAGCACCAUGGCCAGCUUCUCCGGCCUGUUGUUCCUGCGGCCACCGACGACGUCCCUCUCCCUGUCGGCCUUCCUCUCCUUGGCCGGCGACGACGGCAUGAACAGGUGCCCGAAGCCGAAGACGCUGAUCACCGGAUCCACGCGCACGUUGGCCGAGUAGGACCGCUCCAUGCCCCUCGGCCGUCGCGGCCCGACGCCCGCCGACGCCGGCGUGCUCGCGCAGCGCUCCAGCCCGCGGAACACCACGCGCCCGGACGCGCUCACGCGCGGGCUCUCCGCCGCCGCCGCGGGCCGGGACGGGCGAGAGGGCCCGCGCUGCGGGGGCCACGGCCCCGCCCCCGCCCCCGCGCGAGGGUUCCUGCAAGAGCCCGCCGAGGACGAGGACGACGACGAGGCACGGGUCGGGAGCAGGCGCGCGCCCGCCGGUUCCUGCCGCUUCGGCGCGUCCGCGGCGGCGCCGACCUUGUCGCCCCCCGUAGAUCUUGUCCUGGACAUGAGGUGGAGGAGGUUCGCCACGGGCGCCGACCGCGUCCGCAGCGGGGAACACGACGGCGGCGGGCGGCGCGCGCUCUUGCCCGAGUCGACAGAGGACGCCGACGAGGACGACGAGGAGUCCCGCGAGAGGAGCGGCCGGAAAUGCGUCGCCCGUCGCCGCGCCUUCAGACACCGGUCCGCUGCGCACCUGCUGGCGUCGCCGCCGCUGGCAGCCUUGGGUUUCCUCCUGUAGCUGGACACGAGGAGGAGGAGGAGGUCGCGCCACCGGCGCCCAGCGCAUCGCGGGGCGCGAGGGGACGUCGGUUCAGACGCGGGCUCCACCUCCAGGCGCGGCGGCGGAGGGGAGCAAGGAGCAGACGCUGGCGCGGGUCGGCGUAAGGGCACGAGCUUCCCGCCGGAGAAGAGCUCGUCGGCAGCCGAGAGCGCUACCGCGGCGGCUGGGACGACGUGGAACUCGAACUCGUCGACGUCGGCCUGAGCCGGAACCGCCAGCGCAGCGACGGGGCCGUGGAACGUGAAGGGAUCCGACGGGGAAGUCACCGUUGCGGUUGCCAUUGCCGGGGGUGGCGGGGCAUGAACGCGUGAUGCGACGAGGUGGCGAGCGGGAACUCUAAACUUGCCGCUGAUGUGAGAAGGAGAGCAGUCGGUUUUGUUCGGCGGCGGCGGUGGCCGGUGGCUAGCCAGCGCGGGGGUAGUUAGCUCCACGCGCCUCCACCGUGUCACAGAAAGUUGGCAAGAUAUAUGAGCGGUUUCGGGCUACCGGGUCGAACGCGCCGGCCUGGCGGAGAACCCAAACGCGGGAACAGAGUAUACGAGGCAAACGGGGCUAGGGAUGGUAGUUGGACCCGUGGGUAUGGAUACCCGUAGGUUUCGUACCCGGUGGAUAUGGAUACGGGUAGAAAAACUCACCCGCGGGUCCUAUCAGGUAGGAUACUUGAAAUAUAUCGGGUCGGGUAUGGGUAAAAUAUUUUACCCGUGCGUACCCAGUGGAUAUCCGAGAUAUCAAUAUACCUCUUUAAAUAUGCUACAUCCACUAAAAAUUAAGGACCAUAAUAGAAUGAAGCCAAAAAAAAUACACAGCAAUCCUGGUUUUCUUGCAUGCUGGUUGCUGCUACUUCACCAUGGACACAUGCACGACCAUGGGCUGCUGUUGCUGGCGGUAGGCUGCUGCUACUAUACAC
RNAcentral lists this unclassified non-coding RNA (1742 nucleotides) under Zea mays. RNAcentral describes it as "misc RNA Zm00001eb431100". Lineage: Eukaryota; Viridiplantae; Streptophyta; Magnoliopsida; Poales; Poaceae. The record is from RNAcentral.